AUGAACGCUGGCGGCGUGCCUCAUACAUGCAAGUCGAGCGAACAGACGAGGAGCUUGCUCCUUCGACGUUAGCGGCGGACGGGUGAGUAACACGUAGGUAACCUACCUAUAAGACUGGGAUAACUUCGGGAAACCGGAGCUAAUACCGGAUAAUAUUUCGAACCGCAUGGUUCGAUAGUGAAAGAUGGCUUUGCUAUCACUUAUAGAUGGACCUGCGCCGUAUUAGCUAGUUGGUAAGGUAACGGCUUACCAAGGCAACGAUACGUAGCCGACCUGAGAGGGUGAUCGGCCACACUGGAACUGAGACACGGUCCAGACUCCUACGGGAGGCAGCAGUAGGGAAUCUUCCGCAAUGGGCGAAAGCCUGACGGAGCAACGCCGCGUGAGUGAUGAAGGUCUUCGGAUCGUAAAACUCUGUUAUUAGGGAAGAACAAACGUGUAAGUAACUGUGCACGUCUUGACGGUACCUAAUCAGAAAGCCACGGCUAACUACGUG
Molecule: ribosomal RNA, 496 nt
Filed under: uncultured bacterium
Lineage: Bacteria
Description: partial 16S ribosomal RNA
Rfam family: Bacterial small subunit ribosomal RNA
Source: RNAcentral